RNAcentral lists this ribosomal RNA (275 nucleotides) under uncultured anaerobic ammonium-oxidizing bacterium. RNAcentral's name for it is "partial 16S ribosomal RNA". It matches the Rfam family "Bacterial small subunit ribosomal RNA", at positions 809 to 1076 of the family's 1533-position model. The record is from RNAcentral.
AUGGGCACUAGGUAGAGGGGUUUUGAUUAUUUCUCUGCCGGAGCUAACGCAUUAAGUGCCCCGCCUGGGGAGUACGGCCGCAAGGCUAAAACUCAAAGGAAUUGACGGGGGCUCGCACAAGCGGUGGAGCAUGUGGCUUAAUUCGAUGCAACGCGAAGAACCUUACCGGGGCUUGACAUGAUAGAAGUAGGAACCCGAAAGGGCGACGAACGGUAUCCAGCCCGAAACUAUCACAGGUGUUGCAUGGCUGUCGUCAGCUCGUGUCGUGAGACGUU